GCGGGCUCGUGGACUUACUUUUUCUUCACCCUGUUCUUUAGGCGGGCACCUGGAAUUACUUUUUCUUCACCCUAUUCUUCAGGUGGGCUCCUGGACUUCAUUUUUCUUCACCUUAUUCUUCAGGCGGGAUCCUGAACUUUCUUCACCUUGUUGUUCAGUGAGCUCUUGGACUUCCUUUUUAUUUACCCUAUUCUUCAGGCGGGCUCCUGGACUUCUUUUUUCUCUUCACCCUGUUCUUUGGGCGGGCUUCUGUACUUACUUUCCUCUUUACCCUAUUUUUUAGGUGGGCUCCUGAACUUUGUUUUUCUCCACCCUGUUCUUCAGGCGGGUUCCUGAACUUUCUUUUUCUUUACCCUGUUUUCAGGCGAGAUCCUAGACUUUCUUUUUCUUCAGACGAGCUCCUAGACUUCCUUUUUCUUCACCAUGUUCUUCAGGCGGGCUCCUAGACUUACUUUUUCUUCACCUUGUUCUUCUGGCGGGCUCCUGGACUUGCUUUUUCUCUUCACCCUGUUCUUCAGGCGGGCACCCAGACUUCAUUUUUCUUCACCCU
RNAcentral lists this long non-coding RNA (550 nucleotides) under Capsicum annuum. RNAcentral describes it as "long non-coding RNA (CANN_LNC011917)". The record is from RNAcentral. Lineage: Eukaryota; Viridiplantae; Streptophyta; Magnoliopsida; Solanales; Solanaceae.